RNAcentral lists this ribosomal RNA (253 nucleotides) under uncultured bacterium. RNAcentral describes it as "partial 16S ribosomal RNA". It matches the Rfam family "Bacterial small subunit ribosomal RNA", at positions 524 to 776 of the family's 1533-position model. The record is from RNAcentral.
GACGUAGGGUGCGAGCGUUAAUCGGAAUUACUGGGCGUAAAGCGCGCGUAGGCGGUUUGUUAAGUUGGAUGUGAAAUCCCCGGGCUCAACCUGGGAACUGCAUUCAAAACUGACAAGCUAGAGUAUGGUAGAGGGUGGUGGAAUUUCCUGUGUAGCGGUGAAAUGCGUAGAUAUAGGAAGGAACACCAGUGGCGAAGGCGACCACCUGGACUGAUACUGACACUGAGGUGCGAAAGCGUGGGGAGCAAACAGG